GAUGAACGCUGGCGGCGUGCCUAAUACAUGCAAGUCGAACGCAUAGCGAAAGGUGCUUGCCCCUUUCAAGUGAGUGGCGAACGGGGGAGUAACACGUGGACAACCUGCCUCAAGGCUGGGGAUAACAUUUGGAAACAGAUGCUAAUACCGAAUAAAACUUAGUGUCGCAUGACACAAAGUUAAAAGGCGCUUCGGCGUCACCUAGAGAUGGAUCCGCGGUGCAUUAGUUAGUUGGUGGGGUAAAGGCCUACCAAGACAAUGAUGCAUAGCCGAGUUGAGAGACUGAUCGGCCACAUUGGGACUGAGACACGGCCCAAACUCCUACGGGAGGCUGCAGUAGGGAAUCUUCCACAAUGGGCGAAAGCCUGAUGGAGCAACGCCGCGUGUGUGAUGAAGGCUUUCGGGUCGUAAAGCACUGUUGUAUGGGAAGAACAGCUAGAAUAGGAAAUGAUUUUAGUUUGACGGUACCAUACCAGAAAGGGACGGCUAAAUACGUG
This 497-nucleotide ribosomal RNA is filed under the name uncultured bacterium. RNAcentral's name for it is "partial 16S ribosomal RNA". It matches the Rfam family "Bacterial small subunit ribosomal RNA", at positions 28 to 507 of the family's 1533-position model. The record is from RNAcentral.